GGAGAGGUGGCAGAGUGGCCGAUUGCGCCGGUCUUGAAAACCGGAGAGGUGAGAGCCUCCGCGGGUUCGAAUCCCGCCCUCUCCG
Molecule: transfer RNA, 85 nt
Filed under: Chloroflexia bacterium
Lineage: Bacteria; Bacillati; Chloroflexota; Chloroflexia
Also listed under: 1 other name
Description: tRNA-Ser
Rfam family: tRNA
About the family: Transfer RNA (tRNA) molecules are approximately 80 nucleotides in length. Their secondary structure includes four short double-helical elements and three loops (D, anti-codon, and T loops). Further hydrogen bonds mediate the characteristic L-shaped molecular structure. tRNAs have two regions of fundamental functional importance: the anti-codon, which is responsible for specific mRNA codon recognition, and the 3' end, to which the tRNAs corresponding amino acid is attached (by aminoacyl-tRNA synthetases). tRNAs cope with the degeneracy of the genetic code in two manners: having more than one tRNA (with a specific anti-codon) for a particular amino acid; and 'wobble' base-pairing, i.e. permitting non-standard base-pairing at the 3rd anti-codon position.
Source: RNAcentral